UUCAUAGUCUUCAUACGAUUGCACUAGCUGUAGGCUGCAUGGCGAUGAUGAGGUCUUGAUUGUAGGAGUAAUAUAAAGGAUGAUCAGACACAUUAGCACUUUACAUGAGUUGGAAGAAGCUGCAGAUCUAAGAGCUGUUCUUGCAAACAGUAAACAAUAACCUAUUAAAAUACAUAAUAUCAGAUUCAGAGACAUAACGUAACACAUGACUCAGUGAAA
Pelobates cultripes (western spadefoot toad) is the source of this 219-nucleotide non-coding RNA. The record is from the annotation of a GenBank genome assembly. Lineage: Eukaryota; Metazoa; Chordata; Amphibia; Anura; Pelobatidae.